AUGAACGCUGGCGGCGUGCCUAAUACAUGCAAGUCGAGCGAACAGACGAGGAGCCUGCUCCUCUGACGUUAGCGGCGGACGGGUGAGUAACACGUGGAUAACCUACCUAUAAGACUGGGAUAACUUCGGGAAACCGGAGCUAAUACCGGAUAAUAUAUUGAACCGCAUGGUUCAAUAGUGAAAGACGGUUUUGCUGUCACUUAUAGAUGGAUCCGCGCCGCAUUAGCUAGUUGGUAAGGUAACGGCUUACCAAGGCGACGAUGCGUAGCCGACCUGAGAGGGUGAUCGGACACACUGGAACUGAGACACGGUCCAGACUCCUACGGGAGGCAGCAGUAGGGAAUCUUCCGCAAUGGGCGAAAGCCUGACGGAGCAACGCCGCGUGAGUGAUGAAGGUCUUCGGAUCGUAAAACUCUGUUAUUAGGGAAGAACAAAUGUGUAAGUAACUAUGCACGUCUUGACGGUACCUAGUCAGAAAGCCACGGCUAACUACGUG
RNAcentral lists this ribosomal RNA (496 nucleotides) under uncultured bacterium. Its description in RNAcentral is "partial 16S ribosomal RNA". It matches the Rfam family "Bacterial small subunit ribosomal RNA", at positions 29 to 507 of the family's 1533-position model. The record is from RNAcentral.